GGCUUCAUAGCUUAGUUGGUUAGGGCGUCGCACCGUUUUCGCGAUAUCACGGGUUCAAACCCCGUUGAAGUCC
Molecule: transfer RNA, 73 nt
Filed under: Acropora cervicornis
Lineage: Eukaryota; Metazoa; Cnidaria; Anthozoa; Scleractinia; Acroporidae
Description: tRNA-Asn
Rfam family: tRNA
About the family: Transfer RNA (tRNA) molecules are approximately 80 nucleotides in length.
Source: RNAcentral